UACGGAGGGGGCUAGCGUUGUUCGGAAUUACUGGGCGUAAAGCGCACGUAGGCGGAUGUGUCAGUCAGGGGUGAAAUCCCGGAGCUCAACUUCGGAACUGCCUUUGAUACAGCACGUCUUGAGUCCGAUAGAGGUGGGUGGAAUUCCUAGUGUAGAGGUGAAAUUCGUAGAUAUUAGGAAGAACACCGGUGGCGAAGGCGGCCCACUGGAUCGGUACUGACGCUGAGGUGCGAAAGCUAGGGGAGCGAACGGG
RNAcentral lists this ribosomal RNA (253 nucleotides) under uncultured bacterium. RNAcentral describes it as "partial 16S ribosomal RNA". It matches the Rfam family "Bacterial small subunit ribosomal RNA", at positions 524 to 776 of the family's 1533-position model. The record is from RNAcentral.